GUUGAAAUGGAGGAAAGUAGAGGGAAAAGGGGGGAGAGGCAGGAGGGAGGACAAUGGCUAGAGUAUUGGUCCUCACAAGAGAAGCAAGUUGGAAGGAAGUGAGGAAGUGGUCUGAAGCUGUGAUUACAGAGGUGAAGGCUGAGGAGAACAAGGUAGAAUCAUCUUGA
RNAcentral lists this long non-coding RNA (167 nucleotides) under Fukomys damarensis (Damara mole-rat). RNAcentral's name for it is "lncRNA (ENSFDAG00000031012.1)". The record is from RNAcentral. Lineage: Eukaryota; Metazoa; Chordata; Mammalia; Rodentia; Bathyergidae.